AUACAUGCAAGUCGAGCGGACUUUCAAGAAGCUUGCUUUUUGAAAGUUAGCGGCGGACGGGUGAGUAACACGUGGGCAACCUGCCUGCAAGACGGGGAUAACUCCGGGAAACCGGGGCUAAUACCGGAUAAUAUCUUCCUUCGCAUGAAGGAAGGUUGAAAGGCGGCGCAAGCUGCCGCUUGCAGAUGGGCCCGCGGCGCAUUAGCUAGUUGGUGAGGUAACGGCUCACCAAGGCGACGAUGCGUAGCCGACCUGAGAGGGUGAUCGGCCACACUGGGACUGAGACACGGCCCAGACUCCUACGGGAGGCAGCAGUAGGGAAUCUUCCGCAAUGGACGAAAGUCUGACGGAGCAACGCCGCGUGAGCGAAGAAGGUCUUCGGAUCGUAAAGCUCUGUUGUCAGGGAAGAACAAGUACCGUUCGAACAGGGCGGUACCUUGACGGUACCUGACCAGAAAGCCACGGCUAACUACGUGCCAGCAGCCGCGGUAAUACGUAGGUGGCAAGCGUUGUCCGGAAUUAUUGGGCGUAAAGCGCGCGCAGGCGGUCUCUUAAGUCUGAUGUGAAAGCCCACGGCUCAACCGUGGAGGGUCAUUGGAAACUGGGAGACUUGAGUGCAGAAGAGGAGAGCGGAAUUCCACGUGUAGCGGUGAAAUGCGUAGAGAUGUGGAGGAACACCAGUGGCGAAGGCGGCUCUCUGGUCUGUAACUGACGCUGAGG
RNAcentral lists this ribosomal RNA (720 nucleotides) under Bacillus smithii. Its description in RNAcentral is "bacterial SSU rRNA". It matches the Rfam family "Bacterial small subunit ribosomal RNA", at positions 51 to 751 of the family's 1533-position model. The record is from RNAcentral. Lineage: Bacteria; Bacillati; Bacillota; Bacilli; Caryophanales; Bacillaceae.